Molecule: ribosomal RNA, 245 nt
Filed under: uncultured Steroidobacter sp.
Lineage: Bacteria; Pseudomonadati; Pseudomonadota; Gammaproteobacteria; Steroidobacterales; Steroidobacteraceae
Description: partial 16S ribosomal RNA
Rfam family: Bacterial small subunit ribosomal RNA
Source: RNAcentral
UACAGAGGGUGCGAGCGUUAAUCGGAAUUACUGGGCGUAAAGCGUGCGUAGACGGUUCUGUAAGUCGGAUGUGAAAUCCCCGGGCUCAACCUGGGAAUUGCAUUCGAGACUGCAAGGCUUGGGUGCGGAAGAGGGAAGCGGAAUUUCCGGUGUAGCGGUGAAAUGCGUAGAUAUCGGAAGGAACAUCAGUGGCGAAAGCGGCUUCCUGGUCCAGCACCGACGUUCAGGCACGAAAGCGUGGGGAG